AUUUCUGCAUCACUAUCCUCCAUCACCACCAGGUAGAGUUCAUCCUGCUGAAAAGGCCUGGGCCUUCCUUUCUUUGUAAAUCCUCUGCAAACAACCACUUGUGACUGGGGUCCAAGAUGCUAUAGGUACAGCAGUCCUGCUUAUCUGCUGUUUCUCUUUCGUGGUUUCAGUUACUCACCUUCAACUGAGGUAUGGAAGCAGAUGAUCCUCCCUCGGUGAAUUGUCAGAAGGUCCAUAGCAGCCUACCUAGGUCACAAGGUCUGGGUCAUUCACCUGACUUUGUCUCAUCCUAUAGGCAUUUUAUCAUCUCACAUCAUCACCAGAAGGGUGCAGAGGUGGGUCGAUGUCCACAAGACUAAAACCAGCAGCUGUCCAGGUUCUUGGCCUUUCGUUACAGAUGGUUCCUCAAUGAGGUUCAAGCUGCCUUAUGCCUGGGCCACAGCUGGCACCCCCUGUCACUCGUUGCCCUUGUGUUGAGUUUCCCUUGUGUUGUUGGAACGCUUGCAAUUUGACUGGUGCUCCAGAGCCUCGAGAAACAUAAGGAAACUCACCACCCACCCGUGUGAGAGCAUGACGCUUGGAUUGAGAAAAGCUAAGGACUUGUCAGAGAGCCACUGGGUCAGUCUUCAAGUAUUCAGCUGAUCCCAUUUGAUCCUGCACCUCCAGCUGAGGAUGGGUGUGGCAGAUACCAGACAUUGUGGACCAGGAUGUAAGAACCCCUUUAGUCCCUGUGAAGUCAUCUCUAAUCCAGGGAGAUGUUGCAAUGUCUGUGGGCAUUUUGGAAUUCCGUUAAGGAGAAGCUGCGGCGAGCCAUCUCGUUUGUGUUUAGUGGGUAUGAUAAUAUAGGUUCCACGCAUAGUUAUGUUAUUGCCAGCUGCCCCAGUAUAGGAAUGGCUGCCAGGAAUAUUUUUGCCACCUGCUGUGCCAUCGCCAGCCUCCAGAGUUGUAGGCCUGGAAGUCCUAUCAUGAUAUGAAGAUGUGCUGUUUUGCCUGGUACUGGGUGUGUGUAGUUAGUAGAGGAGAAACAAGUUUUGAAAUGGACAGUUAGAAGCUAGUCUAUGGAAAAAUCUUUUAAAUCUUUCAGCUCACAUAUUCACAUAUGAGAGAAACUUGGCAGAAGUUUUCCCAAGUUUUCCAACAAUACUAAAAAUGUACACGGCAUUGCUAAUUACAAGUAUGAAGCUUGAAGAAACUUCUAUAAAUUAUUAAUAAAUGCUCACCAACUAUGUAGAGGAAAGAUUAAAUUGUCUUCCUGUUCUCUCUAUAGAAACUUACAACUGCCAUAUGAAGAGGUGAUUUUGCAUUUAAUAAUGUAUGAAAAGAGAAGCAAUGCAGAGAUUUGUCAAGAAAUUAAUAAUAGUAUUAGUUUACUUUUUAAAAUCUG
Molecule: long non-coding RNA, 1384 nt
Organism: Leopardus geoffroyi (Geoffroy's cat)
Lineage: Eukaryota; Metazoa; Chordata; Mammalia; Carnivora; Felidae
Exons: 6
Source: RefSeq, a predicted model, not a curated record